AUGAACGCUGGCGGCGUGCCUAAUACAUGCAAGUCGAGCGAACAGACGAGGAGCUUGCUCCUCUGACGUUAGCGGCGGACGGGUGAGUAACACGUGGAUAACCUACCUAUAAGACUGGGAUAACUUCGGGAAACCGGAGCUAAUACCGGAUAAUAUAUUGAACCGCAUGGUUCAAUAGUGAAAGACGGUUUUGCUGUCACUUAUAGAUGGAUCCGCGCCGCAUUAGCUAGUUGGUAAGGUAACGGCUUACCAAGGCAACGAUGCGUAGCCGACCUGAGAGGGUGUUCGGCCACACUGGAACUGAGACACGGUCCAGACUCCUACGGGAGCCAGCAUUAGGGAUUCUUCCGCAAUGGGCGAAAGCCUGACGGAGCAACGCCGCGUGAGUGAUGAAGGUCUUCGGAUCGUAAAACUCUGUUAUUAGGGAAGAACAAAUGUGUAAGUAACUAUGCACGUCUUGACGGUACCUAAUCAGAAAGCCACGGCUAACUACGUG
Molecule: ribosomal RNA, 496 nt
Filed under: uncultured bacterium
Lineage: Bacteria
Description: partial 16S ribosomal RNA
Rfam family: Bacterial small subunit ribosomal RNA
Source: RNAcentral